Long non-coding RNA from Apis dorsata (giant honeybee), 220 nucleotides. RefSeq lists it as uncharacterized. The transcript is spliced from 2 exons. The record is from RefSeq and is a predicted model, not a curated record. Lineage: Eukaryota; Metazoa; Arthropoda; Insecta; Hymenoptera; Apidae.
AUAAUAAUUAUCAUGGUCAAAGUUUCAAUUAAUAUUCUAUAAAGAAAUAAAAAAGAACAAUGAACACGUGCAAAAUAUUGCAACAAUAAAAAUUUAUAAGAAGAUUUAUUGAUAGUUUCCUAGUCAUUAUGGUUUUUGGGAGGAGCUGAAUAAGAUUAACAACGCAAAUUAUAGGAAGGAUGACAGUAAAACUUUUAGUAAUGACAAAAAAAAAAGAAAA